GGCGAACGCUGGCGGCGUGCUUAACACAUGCAAGUCGAACGGAAAGGCCCUGCUUUUGUGGGGUGCUCGAGUGGCGAACGGGUGAGUAACACGUGAGUAACCUGCCCUUGACUUUGGGAUAACUUCAGGAAACUGGGGCUAAUACCGGAUAGGAGCUCCUGCUGCAUGGUGGGGGUUGGAAAGUUUCGGCGGUUGGGGAUGGACUCGCGGCUUAUCAGCUUGUUGGUGGGGUAGUGGCUUACCAAGGCUUUGACGGGUAGCCGGCCUGAGAGGGUGUCCGGCCACAUUGGGACUGAGAUACGGCCCAGACUCCUACGGGAGGCAGCAGUGGGGAAUAUUGCACAAUGGGCGGAAGCCUGAUGCAGCAACGCCGCGUGCGGGAUGACGGCCUUCGGGUUGUAAACCGCUUUCGCCUGUGACGAAGCGUGAGUGACGGUAAUGGGUAAAGAAGCACCGGCUAACUACGUG
RNAcentral lists this ribosomal RNA (468 nucleotides) under uncultured bacterium. Its description in RNAcentral is "partial 16S ribosomal RNA". It matches the Rfam family "Bacterial small subunit ribosomal RNA", at positions 28 to 507 of the family's 1533-position model. The record is from RNAcentral.